CGAAUAGGGAGAAAGAAAAGAGGGCAGCAGUUGCAUGUAGGACGUGAAAAAAAGAGAAACCUUCAAUGGUGGGGUCGACUAUUGUUGCCGGGUUUUUUUAAAGGCGGUCAAUGCUGUUGAACAGCGAUGAUUCGUAAUAAUGUGUCGUGUGGUACGCGGAAACUUCUAGGACGUGCAGCCGGUGUGGUUGAAAUGCGAUAAGUCGUGGUAAUGUCUCGUUUCGGUCACCUCCAGGACGAAUGUGUGGGAACAC
This is a long non-coding RNA of Glossina fuscipes, 253 nucleotides long. RefSeq lists it as uncharacterized. The record is from RefSeq and is a predicted model, not a curated record. The transcript is spliced from 2 exons. NCBI's taxonomy places the organism in Eukaryota, Metazoa, Arthropoda, Insecta, Diptera, Glossinidae.